GCCGGAUUAGCUCAGGGGCCAGAGCGGCCGAUUUGUAAUCGGUUGGUCGGGAGUUCGAAUCUCUCAUCCGGCACCA
This 76-nucleotide transfer RNA is filed under the name Alphaproteobacteria bacterium. RNAcentral describes it as "tRNA-Thr". It matches the Rfam family "tRNA". From Rfam's summary of the family: Transfer RNA (tRNA) molecules are approximately 80 nucleotides in length. Their secondary structure includes four short double-helical elements and three loops (D, anti-codon, and T loops). Lineage: Bacteria; Pseudomonadati; Pseudomonadota; Alphaproteobacteria. The record is from RNAcentral.